GAUGAAGAACGCAGCGAAAUGCGAUAAGUAAUGCGAAUUGCAGAAUUCCAGUGAGUCAUCGAAUCUUUGAACGCACAUUGCGCCCAUUGGUAUUCCGGGGGGCAUGCCUGUUCGAGCGUCAUUUCACCACUCAAGCCUCGCUUGGUAUUGGGCAACGCGGUCCGCCGCGUGCCUCAAAUCGACCGGCUGGGUCUUCUGUCCCCUAAGCGUUGUGGAAACUAUUCGCUAAAGGGUGUUCGGGAGGCUACGCCGUAAAACAACCCCAUUUCUAAGGUUGACCUCGGAUCAGGUAGGGAUACCCGCUGAACUUAAGCAUAUCAAUAAGCGGAGGA
Molecule: unclassified non-coding RNA, 332 nt
Filed under: soil metagenome
Description: partial contains 5.8S ribosomal RNA, internal transcribed spacer 2, and large subunit ribosomal RNA
Rfam family: 5.8S ribosomal RNA (bases 1-121)
Source: RNAcentral